CACUAAACCUGAUCGCAGUGGCAUCUCCCGAUUUUUUAUCGGGAAUAAAACGGAGAGGACUAACA
Molecule: unclassified non-coding RNA, 65 nt
Filed under: Pedobacter rhizosphaerae
Lineage: Bacteria; Pseudomonadati; Bacteroidota; Sphingobacteriia; Sphingobacteriales; Sphingobacteriaceae
Description: Flavo-1 RNA
Source: RNAcentral